This 400-nucleotide long non-coding RNA is filed under the name Prunus persica (peach). RNAcentral's name for it is "long non-coding RNA (PPER_LNC007352)". The record is from RNAcentral. Lineage: Eukaryota; Viridiplantae; Streptophyta; Magnoliopsida; Rosales; Rosaceae.
CCAGCUUCACUUCCUCAUCAACAUCAUGUAGCACAAAAUUUGUAUCAGGAACAUACCCAGCCAGCUCCAACUUCUUACCCAAACUCUCGAGCAUAGCAUAAAUCUUUUCUGACUGCGGAUGAAUCCUAUCUCCAGUGCUAAAUUGGUAAGUUUUAUUAUCCACCUCAAUCCAUGUCAAACCAGGUACUUUCUUUAGUCUCCUCUGGCUCAUCAGAUCUCUCAUCUUUGCUACAUCUUUCCACCUACCUGCUCUUGCAUAAAUAUUUGAAAGCAAUACAUAAUGUCCUGCAUUUUCGGGCUGUAGUUCAAGAAGCGAAUUCACUGCCUUUUCUGCUAGGUCUAUAUUCCCAUGGAUUCUACAUGCCCCAAGCAAAGCGCCCCAGAGUCUCUCAUCUUUCUC